UAGGGAACAGCUCACACAGGUGUGGUUGAUGUGUCUCAUUAUUAACAUCAGUUAGAUUUCCUGCACGUGAAAAGCACGUGACGGCUGGCUUGCUCGCCUCUGGAUGAAUGACCUUCUCAUGGCACUUGGAAGACUUCUCAGAGAAUCUGCAAGAAAAACGGCCCUCUACUGAAACCACUUGUUUUGAUGGAUCAAACGUUGGUUCAAGAUGGGAGCCUCGCCACAGGGCAUCCACAGCCUAUACUGUUGGACAAAUCGACCGUUCCAUGGGGACAAAUGCUACCAGUGGGCCAGGAUCAAAUUCUGUCAGCCUCGUUUCAAACCAAGGAAGACAACUGCAUAAACAAACAAUCUGCAUUUAGGAACUUCACUUUAGGUUCUUUUACACAGUCAGCUUUAAGUCACAUGUUACCAGAAAUGGGAUCAGUACCAUCUUGUGGUGUGACUUCUGGGCCAACUGAUCCUGAUGGCAUUCGUUUUAAUGAAACCUAUGCUCCACAAGAAUUAAACUGUGCUUUAAGAAACGCUGAUUUCUUAUUAGAACAUAGCGAGUCGCACCUCCUUGAUCAACACGGCAGGAGAGAAGCAGAGAAUUUGACAAACCAAAAAUUAAUUUCAGUGUCUCAAAACCAAACUCCAACUGCAUGUUCUAAUGAUCUGAUAUCUGUAGACAGAACUAAUACCCAGUCAGAAGUUGCUUGUAAGUCAUUUGUCCUGGAUGCCGACAGUAACUUUGAUGCAGUCAGUCCCCAAUGGCUAGAUUUGUUUCUGGAUGGUAGAGGGAACUUGUGCUUUCCUGAUACUAAUCUUGAAGAAUCUGUAUUUUCACCUAAAACAGGAUCUAUUUAAUCAAUAAGCUGGAAAGGGAGCCUUAUUUUUUUUUUUUUUUACUUGUACAGCUGAUGUUGUGCCAGAACUCCUCACAUGCUUAGCAUUCAGUAUGUAUGUAUGCUCUAUAGUAGGGUAGGCAAGAAGGUAUCAGAUUAAGGUUUUGUUUGAGGUUUCUGUAUAGAAUAACAUUCAUAUUUGCCUCCGAAUUUGUUCAAAAGUCUUGCAGAGAAAUAACAGAAAUGUUCAUUUCAUUUUCAUGUGAAAAACAAAAAAAUCUACAAAGACUUUUUUUUUUUUUUAGUUUAUAUUUAUAUUGUUCAUAGACUCUAAUUUGGAUAGCAGCUAAUUACCUGGUUUUGUUCUACAAAAAAGAAUGCAUCUUGUAAUUGUCUUUUUGCUAAAAUAAACUCGAUGUUUUGACUCCUA
Long non-coding RNA from Girardinichthys multiradiatus, 1257 nucleotides. RefSeq lists it as uncharacterized. NCBI's taxonomy places the organism in Eukaryota, Metazoa, Chordata, Actinopteri, Cyprinodontiformes, Goodeidae. The transcript is spliced from 2 exons. The record is from RefSeq and is a predicted model, not a curated record.